RNAcentral lists this ribosomal RNA (253 nucleotides) under uncultured bacterium. Its description in RNAcentral is "partial 16S ribosomal RNA". It matches the Rfam family "Bacterial small subunit ribosomal RNA", at positions 524 to 776 of the family's 1533-position model. The record is from RNAcentral.
UACGUAGGGUGCAAGCGUUGUCCGGAAUUAUUGGGCGUAAAGAGCUCGUAGGCGGUCUGUUGCGUCGGCUGUGAAAACCCGGGGCUCAACCCUGGGCCUGCAUUCGAUACGGGCAGACUAGAGUUCGGUAGGGGAGACUGGAAUUCCUGGUGUAGCGGUGAAAUGCGCAGAUAUCAGGAGGAACACCGGUGGCGAAGGCGGGUCUCUGGGCCGAAACUGACGCUGAGGAGCGAAAGCGUGGGGAGCAAACAGG